RNAcentral lists this ribosomal RNA (373 nucleotides) under uncultured organism. Its description in RNAcentral is "partial 16S ribosomal RNA". It matches the Rfam family "Bacterial small subunit ribosomal RNA", at positions 527 to 896 of the family's 1533-position model. The record is from RNAcentral.
GUAGGUGGCAAGCGUUGUCCGGAAUUAUUGGGCGUAAAGUGCGCGCAGGUGGGUUCUUUAAGUCUGAUGUGAAAGCCCCCGGGCUCAACCGGGGAGGGUCAUUGGAAACUGGGGAACUUGAGUGCAGGAGAGGAAAGUGGAAUUCCACGUGUAGCGGUGAAAUGCGUAGAUAUGUGGAGGAACACCAGUGGCGAAGGCGACUUUCUGGCCUGUAACUGACACUGAGGCGCGAAAGCGUGGGGAGCAAACAGGAUUAGAUACCCUGGUAGUCCACGCCGUAAACGAUGAGUGCUAAGUGUUGGGGGGUUUCCGCCCCUCAGUGCUGCAGCUAACGCAUUAAGCACUCCGCCUGGGGAGUACGGUCGCAAGACUG